GUGAGGAAUAUUGGACAAUGGGCGCAAGCCUGAUCCAGCCAUGCCGCGUGCAGGAAGACGCAUCUAUGGUGUGUAAACUGCUUUUGUACGGGAAGAAACACUCCCUCGUGAGGGAGCUUGACGGUACCGUAAGAAUAAGGAUCGGCUAACUCCGUGCCAGCAGCCGCGGUAAUACGGAGGAUCCAAGCGUUAUCCGGAAUCAUUGGGUUUAAAGGGUCCGUAGGCGGUUUAAUAAGUCAGUGGUGAAAGCCCAUCGCUCAAAGAUGGAACGGCCAUUGAUACUGUUAGACUUGAAUUACAAGGAAGUAACUAGAAUAUGUAGUGUAGCGGUGAAAUGCUUAGAUAUUACAUGGAAUACCAAUUGCGAAGGCAGGUUACUACUUGUGGAUUGACGCUGAUGGACGAAAGCGUGGGGAGCGAACAGGAUUAGAAACCCUGGUAGUCC
Molecule: ribosomal RNA, 445 nt
Filed under: uncultured bacterium
Lineage: Bacteria
Description: partial 16S ribosomal RNA
Rfam family: Bacterial small subunit ribosomal RNA
Source: RNAcentral